ACUGGUAACUCUUAGCCUGUGCAG
RNAcentral lists this non-coding RNA (24 nucleotides) under Cricetulus griseus (Chinese hamster). The record is from RNAcentral. Lineage: Eukaryota; Metazoa; Chordata; Mammalia; Rodentia; Cricetidae.